GUCUUCUUCAGUGAUUUGUGUUCUCAUCUCCUCAAUAGAUGCAUGGCUGGGCAGAGGUUUCACUCGUUUCUUUGGUGUUAGACCUGUAUUGCAGAAAUUCCAUAUUACCAAGUAAUCAUUUUCAAGGCACUUUUCUGCUUGGGCUUGGAUGCUUGAUAUGCUUUCACCAUGCUUCUCUUGUACAGAACGGAGCUGCUCCGACCAUUGUGCGGUCGUAGAAUCAAUUUCCUUCUUGUUCUCACGGUCCAACAUUAGUGAAUCUGAAAAGUACGCAGGUUUUUUUCCUCUCGUGAGAGAGAGUUCAUAUGAUAAUUUAACAAGAAGAAAUCUGCGUAGUAUUAA
This is a long non-coding RNA of Neltuma alba, 342 nucleotides long. RefSeq lists it as uncharacterized. Lineage: Eukaryota; Viridiplantae; Streptophyta; Magnoliopsida; Fabales; Fabaceae. The record is from RefSeq and is a predicted model, not a curated record. The transcript has 2 exons.